GACGAACGCUGGCGGCGUGCUUAACACAUGCAAGUCGAACGGUAAGGCCCUUCGUGGUACACGUGUUGCGAACGGGAGAGUAACGCGUGAAUAACCUGCCCUUCCCCCUGGCUUAACAGUUGGAAACGGCAGCUAAUACCGAUUAUUCAGCUCCUCCCGCGUGGUGGGGGGUGGGAAGUUUUGGUGGUGGAGGAUGGGCUCGCGUCGUAUCAGCUUGUUGGUGGGGUGAUGGCCUACCAAGGCGUCGACGGGUAGCCGGCCUGAGAGGGCGACCGGCCACAUUGGGACUGAGAUACGGCCCAAACUCCUACGGGAGGCAGCAGUGGGGAAUAUUGCACAAUGGGCGGAAGCCUGAUGCAGCAACGCCGCGUGCGGGAUGACGGCCUUCGGGUUGUAAACCGCUUUCAGCAGGGACGAAGCGCAAGUGACGGUACCUGCAGAAGAAGCACCGGCUAACUACGUG
Molecule: ribosomal RNA, 463 nt
Filed under: uncultured bacterium
Lineage: Bacteria
Description: partial 16S ribosomal RNA
Rfam family: Bacterial small subunit ribosomal RNA
Source: RNAcentral